UGCCAGCAGCCGCGGUAAUACGUAGGGUGCGAGCGUUAAUCGGAAUUACUGGGCGUAAAGCGUGCGCAGGCGGAUUGUUAAGCAAGACGUGAAAUCCCCGGGCUUAACCUGGGAAUGGCGUUUUGAACUGGCAGUCUAGAGUGUGUCAGAGGGGGGUAGAAUUCCACGUGUAGCAGUGAAAUGCGUAGAGAUGUGGAGGAAUACCGAUGGCGAAGGCAGCCCCCUGGGAUAACACUGACGCUCAUGUACGAAAGCGUGGGUAGCAAACAGGAUUAGAUACCCUGGUAGUCCACGCCCUAAACGAUGUCAACUGGUUGUUGGGGGAGUGAAAUCCCUUAGUAACGAAGCUAACGCGUGAAGUUGACCGCCUGGGGAGUACGGUCGCAAGAUUAAAACUCAAAGGAAUUGACGG
RNAcentral lists this ribosomal RNA (412 nucleotides) under uncultured Thiobacillus sp. Its description in RNAcentral is "bacterial SSU rRNA". It matches the Rfam family "Bacterial small subunit ribosomal RNA", at positions 506 to 916 of the family's 1533-position model. The record is from RNAcentral. Lineage: Bacteria; Pseudomonadati; Pseudomonadota; Betaproteobacteria; Nitrosomonadales; Thiobacillaceae.